AUUGAACGCUGGCGGAAUGCUUUACACAUGCAAGUCGAACGGCAGCACGGACUUCGGUCUGGUGGCGAGUGGCGAACGGGUGAGUAAUACAUCGGAACGUGCCCAGUCGUGGGGGAGAACGUAGCGAAAGCUACGCUAAUACCGCAGACGAGCUAAGGAUGAAAGCGGGGGAUCGCAAGACCUCGCGCGAUUGGAGCGGCCGAUGGCAGAUUAGGUAGUUGGUAGGGUAAAGGCCUACCAAGCCGACGAUCUGUAGCUGGUCUGAGAGGAUGAGCAGCCACAGUGGGGCUGAGACACGGCCCAGACUCCUACGGGAGGCAGCAGUGGGGAAUUUUGUACAAUGGGCGAAAGCCUGAUCCAGCCAUUCCGCGUGCAGGAUGAAGGCCUUCGUGUUGUAAACUGCUUUUGUACAGAACGAAAAGGCUCUGGUUAAUACCCGGGGCUCAUGACGGUACUGUAAGAAUAAGCACCGGCUAACUACGUGCCAGCAGCCGCCGUAA
Molecule: ribosomal RNA, 500 nt
Filed under: uncultured bacterium
Lineage: Bacteria
Description: partial 16S ribosomal RNA
Rfam family: Bacterial small subunit ribosomal RNA
Source: RNAcentral